UAGAGUUUGAUCCUGGCUCAGAACGUACGCUGGCGGCACGCCUAACACAUGCAAGUCGAACGAGGUAGCAAUACUUAGUGGCAGACGGGUGAGUAACAUGUAGGUAUCUGCCCUUUGGCCUGGAAUAACACGAGGAAACUUGUGCUAAUACCGGAUAAGUCUUUACGGAGAAAGCUUUAUGCACCAUUGGAUGAGCCUGCACUUGAUUAGUUUGUUGGUGGGGUAAUGGCCUACCAAGACUGUGAUCAAUAGCUGAUUUGAGAGGAUGAUCAGCCACAUUGGGACUGAGACACGGCCCAAACUCCUACGGGAGGCAGCAGUGGGGAAUCUUGCACAAUGGAGGAAACUCUGAUGCAGCGAUGCCGCGUGAGUGAAGAAGGCCCUUGGGUUGUAAAGCUCUUUCGUCGGGGAAGAAAAUGACUGUACCCGAAUAAGAAGGUCCGGCUAACUUCGUGCCAGCAGCCGCGGUAAUACGAAGGGACCUAGCGUAGUUCGGAAUUACUGGGCUUAAAGAGUUCGUAGGUGGUUGAAAAAGUUAGUGGUGAAAUCCCAGAGCUUAACUCUGGAACUGCCAUUAAAACUUUUUAGCUAGAGUAUGAUAGAGGAAAGCAGAAUUUCUAGUGUAGAGGUGAAAUUCGUAGAUAUUAGAAAGAAUACCAAUUGCGAAGGCAGCUUUCUGGAUCAUUACUGACACUGAGGAACGAAAGCAUGGGUAGCGAAGAGGAUUAGAUACCCUCGUAGUCCAUGCCGUAAACGAUGUGUGUUAGACGUUGGAAAUUUAUUUUCAGUGUCGCAGGGAAACCGAUAAACACACCGCCUGGGGAGUACGACCGCAAGGUUAAAACUCAAAUGAAUUGACGGGGACCCGCACAAGUAGUGGAGCAUGUGGUUUAAUUCGAAGAUACGCGCAGAACCUUACCAACACUUGACAUGUUCGUCGCGACUCUAAGAGAUUAGAGUUUUCGGUUCGGCCGGACGAAACACAGGUGCUGCAUGGCUGUCGUCAGCUCGUGUCGUGAGAUGUUGGGUUAAGUCCCGCAACGAGCGCAACCCUCACUUUUAGUUGCCAUCAUUAAGUUGGGCACUCUGAAAGAACUGCCAGUGAUAAGCUGGAGGAAGGUGGGGAUGACGUCAAGUCCUCAUGGCCCUUACGUGUUGGGCUACACACGUGCUACAAUGGUAUCUACAACAGGAAGCAAGACUGCGAAGUUAAGCAAAUCCCUAAAAGAUACCUCAGUUCGGAUUGCACUCUGCAACUCGAGUGCAUGAAGCUGGAAUUACUAGUAAUCGUGGAUCAGCGUGCCACGGUGAAUGCGUUCCCGGGUCUUGUACACACCGCCCGUCACACCAUGGGAGUUGGUUCUACCUUAAGGCAAGGUUUCAAACCCUUGACCACGGUAUAGUCAGCGACUGGGGUGAAGUCGUAACAAGGUAACCA
Molecule: ribosomal RNA, 1438 nt
Filed under: uncultured bacterium
Lineage: Bacteria
Description: bacterial SSU rRNA
Rfam family: Bacterial small subunit ribosomal RNA
Source: RNAcentral